Molecule: ribosomal RNA, 462 nt
Filed under: uncultured bacterium
Lineage: Bacteria
Description: partial 16S ribosomal RNA
Rfam family: Bacterial small subunit ribosomal RNA
Source: RNAcentral
GACGAACGCUGGCGGCGUGCUUAACACAUGCAAGUCGAACGGAAAGGCCCUUCGGGGUACUCGAGUGGCGAACGGGUGAGUAACACGUGGGUGAUCUGCCCUGCACUUUGGGAUAAGCCUGGGAAACUGGGUCUAAUACCGAAUAGGACCACGCGCUUCAUGGUGUGUGGUGGAAAGCUUUUGCGGUGUGGGAUGGGCCCGCGGCCUAUCAGCUUGUUGGUGGGGUAAUGGCCUACCAAGGCGACGACGGGUAGCCGGCCCGAGAGGGUGACCGGCCACACUGGGACUGAGAUACGGCCCAGACUCCUACGGGAGGCAGCAGUGGGGAAUAUUGCACAAUGGGCGCAAGCCUGAUGCAGCGACGCCGCGUGAGGGAUGACGGCCUUCGGGUUGUAAACCUCUUUCACCAGGGACGAAGCGUAAGUGACGGUACCUGGAGAAGAAGCACCGGCCAACUACGUG